AUAGCACUUAAACUAUUGAGAAUGGAGGAUCCCAGGACAACAUUUAAAAUGACAGCUAAUGUCUGUGGAAACCCUGGGCGUUUAGGAGUGGCCUAAAGCUAGAGUUCUCUUUGAUUACGGGCACCACUUUCAGAUAAAAACAUAGACCUGAAUGGCAUCAUCCAGUAUCCAAGGAAACCAUUUCUUACAGUACCCUGGAACAUAAUUCACCAUGGCCAGGAUGAAUCUGCUGUACACAGGAGUGAUCCUUCUAACCUGCCAUGUCCAUAGUUAUGUGAGAAUCUAGGAUGGAGCUGAAAGAACUGUAUCUUCCUGGAUCAUACCCAAAAGGUCUCUAAGUGCACUGAUGACAGGAAAAUCUUCAGUGGUUCCAGAGACAAGCUGCUGGAAAUCCUGCACAUUUAUUUUCUAGAAGGAAAUGAGCUGAUGAGGAAUAAUCCCUUCAGAGAUCCUCCCUUUAAAAAACCUUAAAGGACUCCAAAUUAAAGCAUAGCCAUUUCUGGGACCCUAAAGUGACUCAAAAAAAGGAAACAUCACUUACUUAAUGUUAGGUGAAUUUCAAAAGCCUUAAUAAGGGGAGAGCAAAGGUAGGGAGAAAGAUGGUGAAUAAAUUGUGAGAACCUACCAAGUAAAGAAAUAUCUUUUAAAUUCCACGCAUCAUGUUUUAUUUCACUUUGUAUUUCAAUUAAAAAAGGAAAAAUAUGCAUUUUAAAAAGAUAUAUUUUUUGCUAUUAAUAUUAGCACUUAAUGUCUGAGUACAGAUCCAUCAUUCAUUAGGUCUACAGUAGCCCACAGCCCUAAUUUACAAAUUCAUAAUCACAAGUCAGAUCAACUCAAUUGCUCAAGGCUGUGUAUUUGCAAGUUAGAGUAUACACUGCAAAUUUCCUGUCUUUGGGCCGGUAUACUGAGCAAUGGUACUUUUUAAAAAGAAUUUGCUCAUAUCUUAGAUUUAACAGAGUUGAAAAUGUUUAACCAAUAUCACUCAUGUAAUAUAAAGUGUAAAUUUAAGCAGUGUUCUAGAAAAUUCAAGGCAAAGUAGUUUAAACCAUUUGGCUCUUCCUAGAGGUUCUGAUUUUUUUUUUUUAACCUGAAAAAGUAGGUAAUUACUCGAUAGCCUUAGCUCUAAAAUAUAUCUGACAGGUUAUUUUUAUUUGUUUGGUUUUCAGAAAUCAUAUCCAUGUUUUCUACUCUCUGUAGUCUUAGCAAAAUGAAUCAAAGCCACUCUGUAUCCAAAGGUAACACUAUGGUUGUCUUUUUUUUUUUUUUUUUUUUUUUUUUUAACAUUGCAGGCUUUACCUCAAGUGCUAUGCAGUAAAUUUACAGGGAAAGAAAUAUUUUAUUAAAUUAUAACUGAGAGGAGCGGAUUUUUUUUUAUAUAGCAAACAAAAAAUUCCUUCAUGAAAGGUUAUAAAACCGAUAUUAUUUACCAGAGAGACCUUUCCUGUCUCCCAGGUAAACACUUACAGUGUGUAGACUUGUGUAAAUACAUAUUUAGGAGUGGCUAAAUAUGGCGAGGUAUUUUUAAAGCCAUAUUUACAAAGCUGAAUACAUAUAUUGGCAUUUUGGAAUGUGUAAGCUGGGCAUGCUGCUCUGCUGUCUAUUCAGAAUUCUAGCAGGACGCUGCUAGAUACACCUCAGAUAUGGGGACCGAAUUUCAAAACAUUCAUCUUUAAUCAGAAUUACUAAAGACAGGUCCUUAAAUCAUUUCAAAAGGGUGAAAAUUUUCAAUUAAUGGAGUUCAAGACUUUCUCACCAGUUUGACUUGAGGAAAAUUGUUUCAGAAAUGCAGGCGUCAUUCAUGGAAAUAAAAUUUCUUUUCUG
RNAcentral lists this long non-coding RNA (1821 nucleotides) under Sus scrofa (pig). Its description in RNAcentral is "lncRNA (ENSSSCG00030050637.1)". Lineage: Eukaryota; Metazoa; Chordata; Mammalia; Artiodactyla; Suidae. The record is from RNAcentral.